This 621-nucleotide ribosomal RNA is filed under the name uncultured bacterium. RNAcentral's name for it is "bacterial SSU rRNA". It matches the Rfam family "Bacterial small subunit ribosomal RNA", at positions 60 to 692 of the family's 1533-position model. The record is from RNAcentral.
AGUCGAACGAGGUAGCAAUACCUAGUGGCGCACGGGUGCGUAACGCGUAUGCAACUUACCUCUUACAGGGGGAUAACUCGGGGAAACUCGGGCUAAUACCGCGUAAUAAUUUAACUGGCAUCAGUAGAAUUUAAAAGCUAUGGCGGUAGGAGAUAGGCAUGCGUGUCAUUAGCUAGAUGGGGAGGUAAUGGCUCCCCAUGGCUACGAUGACUAGGGGUUCUGAGAGGAAGAUCCCCCACACUGGUACUGAGAUACGGACCAGACUUCUACGGGAGGCAGCAGUAAGGAAUAUUGGGCAAUGGGCGAGAGCCUGACCCAGCCAUGCCGCGUGCAGGAAGACGGCCCUCUGGGUUGUAAACUGCUUUUAUCAGGGAAGAAAAGAGGCUUGCGAGCCUAACUGACGGUACCUGAUGAAUAAGCACCGGCUAACUACGUGCCAGCAGCCGCGGUAAUACGUAGGGUGCAAGCGUUGUCCGGAUUUAUUGGGUUUAAAGGGUGCGUAGGUGGCUGAUUAAGUCAUGGGUGAAAGCCCGCAGCUCAACUGUGGAAUUGCCUGUGAUACUGAUUAGCUUGAGUGCGGUUGAGGCAGCUGGAAUUGGUGGUGUAGCGGUGAAAUGCAUA